GAGUUUGAUCAUGGCUCAGAUUGAACGCUGGCGGCAUGCCUUACACAUGCAAGUCGAACGGCAGCAUGAUCUAGCUUGCUAGAUUGAUGGCGAGUGGCGAACGGGUGAGUAAUACAUCGGAACGUGCCCUGUAGUGGGGGAGUAACUAGUCGAAAGAUUAGCUAAUACCGCAUACGACCUGAGGGUGAAAGUGGGGGACCGCAAGGCCUCAUGCUAUAGGAGCGGCCGAUGUCUGAUUAGCUAGUUGGUGGGGUAAGGGCCCGACCAACGGCGACGAUCAGUAGCUGGUCUGAGAGGACGAUCAGCCACACUGGGACUGAGACACGGCCCAGACUCCUACGGGAGGCGAGCAGUGGGGAAUUUUGGACAAUGGGCGAAA
This 379-nucleotide ribosomal RNA is filed under the name uncultured microorganism. Its description in RNAcentral is "bacterial SSU rRNA". It matches the Rfam family "Bacterial small subunit ribosomal RNA", at positions 9 to 380 of the family's 1533-position model. The record is from RNAcentral.